UUCUCAUAGUCCUUUUUGCCCUUAUCUUCCUAAUAUAAUCUCUCUAAUCUGGUUACUUUUUGCUUUUAUUAUCAUUAUUUUUUGAUGUGUGUAGCCAUUUUUUCCACUUUCUUUUUUAUUUUUGGUCAGUUGUGCAAGGGUAUAAGGAAAUAAGAGCUGACUGGGGAUUGAAUUACAGAAGCCGUGAAAUCAGUGAAACUCCUUGAGAUGAUCAAGUUGGAAGGGCAGUGAUGCAUGCUUUCUCUGUUGACAAGACUGACAUUGUUAUCAAGAAACAAGGAACAUCUGAGAAAUUGUCAUCGUCUAGAGGAGCCUAAGGAGAUAUAUGACUAGAGUUCUUCAUCUUUAAUCCCAACCCAAACAAGGCUGUAGAUGGAACUCAUCAACAUCGUGACAGAGAAGGUCAAUAAUCUGAUUGAUGAGUUAUCCAUUUGACUCUCGGUCUUGUCCAUUGUAGCCUCCUAAGAUGAAUAUAUCUCAUUCAGCUUUUCUGGUAGGUGUCUUGUUUUCCCACAUCUUAAAAUAAAACACUUGUGUAUGCAUGUGUGUACAUUUUGAGAGCACAUGUAUUAGAGUAAACUGGGACUCUACACCCUAACUUUUCAGUUAACAUAGAUAGGUUCUCUUGCAUUACUUCUGCAUUCACAUUUCUUGAAGAUAAGUCAUUCUACAGAUCUCCAAAAGGUUAAAGAAAGGCAUCUGCAGUUAGAAACAGCACUUUGGGUAGCAUAUGCCUUCUUGAUAUAGAAUUAACUUGAGCUAUACGGCAAAACAAGUACCUUUCACCAAGAAAGAAAGUUUAUGGAAAAAAUAGAAGAUUCAUCAACUAAGAAUGAUGGAUGAUUGCAGAAAUA
Molecule: long non-coding RNA, 854 nt
Filed under: Homo sapiens (human)
Lineage: Eukaryota; Metazoa; Chordata; Mammalia; Primates; Hominidae
Description: HSALNT0307233
Source: RNAcentral